RNAcentral lists this ribosomal RNA (225 nucleotides) under uncultured bacterium. RNAcentral describes it as "partial 16S ribosomal RNA". It matches the Rfam family "Bacterial small subunit ribosomal RNA", at positions 524 to 748 of the family's 1533-position model. The record is from RNAcentral.
UACGUAGGGCGCAAGCGUUGUCCGGAAUUAUUGGGCGUAAAGAGCUCGUAGGCGGUUUGUCGCGUCUGCUGUGAAAACUCAAGGCUCAACCUUGGGCUUGCAGUGGGUACGGGCAGACUAGAGUGCGGUAGGGGUGACUGGAAUUCCUGGUGUAGCGGUGGAAUGCGCAGAUAUCAGGAGGAACACCGAUGGCGAAGGCAGGUCACUGGGCCGCAACUGACGCUG